RNAcentral lists this ribosomal RNA (497 nucleotides) under uncultured bacterium. Its description in RNAcentral is "partial 16S ribosomal RNA". It matches the Rfam family "Bacterial small subunit ribosomal RNA", at positions 28 to 507 of the family's 1533-position model. The record is from RNAcentral.
GAUGAACGCUGGCGGCGUGCCUAAUACAUGCAAGUCGAGCGAACGGACGAGAAGCUUGCUUCUCUGAUGUUAGCGGCGGACGGGUGAGUAACACGUGGAGAACCUACCUAUAAGACUGGGAUAACUUCGGGAAACCGGAGCUAAUACCGGAUGAUAUUUUGAACCUCAUGGUUCAAAAGUGAAAGACGGUCUUUCUGUCACUUAUAGAUGGAUCCGCGCUGCAUUAGCUAGUUGGUAAGGUAACGGCUUACCAAGGCAACGAUGCAUAGCCGACCUGAGAGGGUGAUCGGCCACACUGGAACUGAGACACGGUCCAGAAUCCUACGGGAGGCAGCAGUAGGGAAUCUUCCGCCAUGGGCGAAAGCCUGACGGAGCAACGACGCGUGAGUGAUGAAGGUCUUCGGAUCGUAAAACUCUGUUAUCAGGGAAGAACAUAUGUGUCAGUAACUGUGCACAUCUUGACGGUACCUAAUCAGAAAGCCACGGCUAACUACGUG